RNAcentral lists this ribosomal RNA (253 nucleotides) under uncultured bacterium. RNAcentral's name for it is "partial 16S ribosomal RNA". It matches the Rfam family "Bacterial small subunit ribosomal RNA", at positions 524 to 776 of the family's 1533-position model. The record is from RNAcentral.
UACGUAGGGUGCAAGCGUUAAUCGGAAUUACUGGGCGUAAAGCGUGCGCAGGCGGCUUUGCAAGACAGAUGUGAAAUCCCCGGGCUUAACCUGGGAACUGCAUUUGUGACUGCAUGGCUGGAGUGCGGCAGAGGGGGAUGGAAUUCCGCGUGUAGCAGUGAAAUGCGUAGAUAUGCGGAGGAACACCGGUGGCGAAGGCGGCCAUCUGGACGGAUACUGACGCUGAGACGCGAAAGCGUGGGGAGCAAACAGG